RNAcentral lists this ribosomal RNA (301 nucleotides) under uncultured bacterium. RNAcentral's name for it is "partial 16S ribosomal RNA". It matches the Rfam family "Bacterial small subunit ribosomal RNA", at positions 509 to 807 of the family's 1533-position model. The record is from RNAcentral.
CAGCCGCCGCGGUAAUACGAAGGGGGCUAGCGUUGUUCGGAAUUACUGGGCGUAAAGCGCACGUAGGCGGAUAUUUAAGUCAGGGGUGAAAUCCCAGAGCUCAACUCUGGAGCUGCCUUUGAUACUGGGUAUCUUGAGUAUGGAAGAGGUGAGUGGAAUUCCGAGUGUAGAGGUGAAAUUCGUAGAUAUUCGGAGGAACACCAGUGGCGAAGGCGGCUCACUGGUCCAUUACUGACGCUGAGGUGCGAAAGCGUGGGGAGCAAACAGGAUUAGAUACCCCUGUAGUCCCUGUCUCUUAUAC